RNAcentral lists this long non-coding RNA (2275 nucleotides) under Mytilus galloprovincialis (Mediterranean mussel). The record is from RNAcentral. Lineage: Eukaryota; Metazoa; Mollusca; Bivalvia; Mytilida; Mytilidae.
CCAAGUAUAAUAAAGUUGUAUAUGUUAUAUUUCAAAGUUUGAUUUUUGAAUUGUAUAUGUUAUGUUACAGAGUAAAAUAUUAUAUAUGUCUAUAGUAUACAGUUAACUAACACAUUCUGAGAAUAGAAAACAGAGAGAUUUUACUAACAAAAUUUAAAUUUAAUGCUUUUUAAAAUAUGUGUGUAAAUAAAUUUACUAAUUUGUAUGUAGCUUGACAGCAUCCAAUAGAAACAGUGUUUACGAUCACUUCUGUUCUCUUGAAGGCUUGUUUUCGUCAUUGAUGAUUUCACGCUUUUGUAAAUCCAAAAUUUCAGGUUAAUUACUUGACAGAAUUAAACCAAUCUUAGACUGUCAAUCCAUAAUUCCAGUGUAAAUACUGGACAGAAUUAAACAAAUCUUACACUGUUUUAUCUAUGAUGUUGUGACCUCUUCUUUCAAUAUUUUUUUUUAUCCCAGAUAUUGUUUUCUCAUACCUGAAUUAUGCCAUUUCUGUUUAUAUCAAAUAGACUAUUUUUAUAUUAACGACUUUUGACUCUUGAUUAUAAUUUUUCAACUGGUUACCUUUUCUCAUGUUGGACAUCCUUGUACUUAGUCAGGUAAGAGCAAACUAAAGAAGUAAAACCAAUCUUUCAAUCGGUACUAUUUCGAGGAAAAAUUAACUGCUUAACAUUUACUUUACACAAGUUAACACAACAAAAUCAUCGGGAAACAGUAUUCACACCAAUUAUAUGUCUGAUUUUACUUAUUUUGGUUGCUCAUACUUGGCUGAGUACCCGGAUAUACAACCACAGAAAAGGUAACCUGUUGAAAAUUUAUGUAAUCUGGAGUCAAAAGUUGGUAAUAUAAAAAAAGUCUAUUGUUUAUAUGCAUCUCCUUCAAUACAGAUUGAAAGAAUGCAAGGUAACUUACAUUGAUUUUUUUUUGCAGGGCAAGAAUAUGUGCUCCUGUUCAUAUACCAAAACAUAGAAUACUUUUGAGAUGAAUGGCAAUACAUAUCUUUCUUUGACAAUUAUAUUUUUUUGCUUAAAUAAUUUUUAGCUUUAUAAAAAAGGGUCUAUGUAUACACACUUUCAUUUCUUAUAUAUCAAAUAUUAGUUUUGCCUUGGAAUUUUUUUCCUUUUCAAUAAUCAAAAAUAUUUCUAACUUAUAAUUUUAUUUAUUUUCAAUAACUUGUCUUUGUUCUCUAAUGAUUUUGUAGAAUUAUAUUGUUUUUGUUUUUUGGAAAAAUGUUGUUUUGAGUGUUGGGUUUUGUUUGGGUUGGGAUUAAAAGAUAUUUAGAUAUACAACUUAUAACUGUUACAGUUACUUUAUAAGGUGAUACAUUACACUGCAGGGAGAUAACUCUCACAGUUACUUUAUAAGGUGAUACAUUACACUGCAGGGAGAUAACUCUGACAGUUACUUUAUAAGGUGAUACAUUACACUGCAGGGAGAUAACUCUGACAGUUACUUUAUAAGUGAUACAUUACACUGCAGGAUUAUGACGUUUACUUUAUAGGUGAUACAUUACACUGCAGGGAGAUAACUCUGACAUUUACUUUAUAAGGUGAUACAUUACACUGCAGGGAGAUAACUCUGACGUUUACUUUAUAAGGUGAUACAUUACACUGCAGGGAGAUAACUCUGAGAAAGUCAGCUGAAUGCUUUAAACAUUUUCUAUUGUUUAGGAAAUAUUGAGCUUCUCAGUAUUCAAAAUUUGUGUUUGUUAAAUUUGUACAAUAUUCUAUGAAAUUUAAUCCGAUAAAUUGUAUGGUUCUGUGUUUUUGAAAAAAUUUUAUUUUUGUCAAAGGGUAAAAUUUAAUAUUUUUGAAUUUUUAUGACAAAUAACAAGCAAAAGUAAUUUAAGUAUGGUACCACCUUAAUGUUUUAAUGUGUAAGGGUGAGGUUCAGUCAUCACGACUGGCUUCAAUUCAUCGAAGACCAAUUAUUGUUAACAGUGGCAGGACUUCACAGGGUCAUUUCUGGACAUUUGAAUUUUAAAUCAAAAGACAAUUCUUAUAUUUUUGGAGUCUGGCCAUACUUACUUAACAUAUAUAUAAUUUUGAUGGGCUACGCUUAAUUUACUACAUAUGCAAGGGCAGUAACUCUUGAAAAUAUGAAAAAUUGGAAUUAGUUUGAAACUCAGUUAUUUACAUCUAUCCUAAUAUUGAUAAUUGUUUUUAUUUUAAUAUUCAGUAUAAGAAGGACUUUUUACUAUCAAUCAUACACAUUAUAUGUAAACUAGGAACAUUUAUAGGUUGUAUUAUAAUUUGUUUUAUUUUGUUGCCUAACACAC